RNAcentral lists this ribosomal RNA (522 nucleotides) under Bifidobacterium longum subsp. infantis. Its description in RNAcentral is "bacterial SSU rRNA". It matches the Rfam family "Bacterial small subunit ribosomal RNA", at positions 161 to 698 of the family's 1533-position model. The record is from RNAcentral. Lineage: Bacteria; Bacillati; Actinomycetota; Actinomycetes; Bifidobacteriales; Bifidobacteriaceae.
UGGUAAUGCCGGAUGCUCCAACUGUCCGCAUGGUUUGUUGGGAAAGCUUUCGCGGUAUGGGAUGGGGUCGCGUCCUAUCAGCUUGACGGCGGGGUAACGGCCCACCGUGGCUUCGACGGGUAGCCGGCCUGAGAGGGCGACCGGCCACAUUGGGACUGAGAUACGGCCCAGACUCCUACGGGAGGCAGCAGUGGGGAAUAUUGCACAAUGGGCGCAAGCCUGAUGCAGCGACGCCGCGUGAGGGAUGGAGGCCUUCGGGUUGUAAACCUCUUUUAUCGGGGAGCAAGCGAGAGUGAGUUUACCCGUUGAAUAAGCACCGGCUAACUACGUGCCAGCAGCCGCGGUAAUACGUAGGGUGCAAGCGUUAUCCGGAAUUAUUGGGCGUAAAGGGCUCGUAGGCGGUUCGUCGCGUCCGGUGUGAAAGUCCAUCGCUUAACGGUGGAUCCGCGCCGGGUACGGGCGGGCUUGAGUGCGGUAGGGGAGACUGGAAUUCCCGGUGUAACGGUGGAAUGUGUAGAUAUC